RNAcentral lists this transfer RNA (68 nucleotides) under Bombus hortorum. RNAcentral describes it as "tRNA-Gln". RNAcentral also lists the same sequence under 1 other name. Lineage: Eukaryota; Metazoa; Arthropoda; Insecta; Hymenoptera; Apidae. The record is from RNAcentral.
UUAUAUUUAAUGUAAAUUAGCAUAUUAAAUUUUGAUUUUAAAAGAAUUAUUAAUAUUAAUAAUAUAAA